RNAcentral lists this microRNA precursor (87 nucleotides) under Cavia porcellus (domestic guinea pig). RNAcentral's name for it is "mir-493 microRNA precursor family". It matches the Rfam family "mir-493 microRNA precursor family". Lineage: Eukaryota; Metazoa; Chordata; Mammalia; Rodentia; Caviidae. The record is from Rfam by way of RNAcentral.
CUGGCUCGAGGGCCUUGUACAUAGUAGGCUUUCAUUCACUCGUGUACUUAUACGGUGAGGGUCUACUGUGUGCCAGGCCCUGUCCAG